This is a long non-coding RNA of Oncorhynchus tshawytscha (Chinook salmon), 588 nucleotides long. NCBI's taxonomy places the organism in Eukaryota, Metazoa, Chordata, Actinopteri, Salmoniformes, Salmonidae. The record is from Ensembl.
UCAGGUUGAUGAGAGAGAUCAGUUGAACCUCUUCCUUCAGGUUGAUGAGAGAGAUCAGUUGAACCUCUUCCUUCAGGUUGAUGAGAGAGGUCAGUUGAACCUCUUCCUUCAGGUUGAUGAGGGGAUAGAGGUCAGAUGAACCUCUUCCUUCAGGUUGAUGAGAGAGAUCAGUUGAACCUCUUCUUUCAGGUUGAUUAGGGGAGAGAGGUGAGUUGAACCUCUUCCUACAGGUUGAUGAGAGGUGAGAGGUCAAUUGAACCUCUUCCUUCAGGUUGAUGUGGGAUAGAGGUCAGUUGAACCUCUUCCUUCAGGUUGAUGAGAGGUGAGAGGUCAGUUGAACCUCUUCCUUCAGGUUGAUGAGGGGGUAGAGGUCAGUUGAACCUCUUCCUACAGGUUGAUGAGAGGUGAGAGGUCAAUUGAACCUCUUCCUUCAGGUUGAUGAGGGAUAGAGGUCAGUUGAACCUCUUCCUUCAGGUUGAUGAGGGGAGAGAGGUCAGUUGAACCUCUUCCUUCAGGUUGAUGAGGGGAUAGAGGUCAGUUGAACCUCUUCCUUCAGGUUGAUGAGAGAGAUCAGUUGAACCUCUUCUU